CCUGGUUGAUCUUGCCAGUAGUCAUAUGCUUGUCUCACAGAUUAAGCCAUGCAAGUGAAAGUACAUAUGUAAAUAAUAUAUUGAAACUGCGAACGGCUCAUUAAAACAGUUAUAAUCUACUUGAUGUUUUUAAUAUAAGGAUAACUACGGAAAAUCUGUAGCUAAUACUUGUGAAAAUACCUUUUGAUAUAUACAUAUGUAUGUAUCAUUAAGGUAUGUAUUUGUUAGAUAUAAGAAUAAAAUAAAUAUAAUUGAAUUAUAACAAAGAAGAAACACAUAAAAUAUGUGUAUUAUCAAUCGAGUAUCUGACCUAUCAGCUUUUGAUGUUAGGGUAUUGACCUAACAUGGCUAUGACGGGUAACGGGGAAUUAGAGUUCGAUUCCGGAGAGGGAGCCUGAGAAAUAGCUACCACAUCUAAGGAAGGCAGCAGGCGCGUAAAUUACCCAAUUCUAAAAAAGAGAGGUAGUGACAAGAAAUAACAAUACAAUAUCGAAAAAUGAUUUUGUAAUUGGAAUGAUAGGAAUUUACAAGGUUCCUAGAGAAACAAUUGGAGGGCAAGUCUGGUGCCAGCAGCCGCGGUAAUUCCAGCUCCAAUAGCAUAUAUUAAAAUUGUUGCAGUUAAAACGUUCGUAGUUGAAUAUUAAAGAAUCCGAUGUUUCAUUUAAACUGGUUUGGGAAAACCAAAUAUAUUAUAUAUUUUGCUUUGUUCAAAAUAAGGUUUUCUAAUAAAUUAUGUUUUUAUCAGAUAUGACAGAAUCUUUUUUAAAAUCUCUUCAAUAUGCUUUUAUUGCUUUUGAGAGGUUUUGUUACUUUGAGUAAAAUUAAGUGUUCAUAACAGACGGGUAGUCAUGAUUGAGUUCAUUGUGUUUGAAUACUACAGCAUGGAAUAACAAAUAUGAAUAAGCUAAUUAUUUUUUUUUUUCAUAAUUUUUUUUGAUAUUCUUAUUAGCUUAGUUACGAUUAAUAGGAGUAGCUUUGGGGGCAUUCGUAUUCAGAUGUCAGAGGUGAAAUUCUAAGAUUUUCUGGAGACGGACUACUGCGAAAGCAUUUGCCUAAUCUAUUUCCAUUAAUCAAGAACGAAAGUUAAGGGAGUGAAGACGAUCAGAUACCGUCGUAAUCUUAACCAUAAACUAUACCGACUAGGUGUUGGAUGAAUAUAAAAAAUAUAUAAAUAUGUAGCAUUUCUUAGGGAAUGUUGAUUUUAUAUUAGAAUUGCUUCCUUCAGUACCUUAUGAGAAAUCAAAGUCUUUGGGUUCUGGGGCGAGUAUUCGCGCAAGCGAGAAAGUUAAAAGAAUUG
Molecule: ribosomal RNA, 1297 nt
Filed under: Plasmodium falciparum CAMP/Malaysia
Lineage: Eukaryota; Apicomplexa; Aconoidasida; Haemosporida; Plasmodiidae
Description: SSU rRNA
Rfam family: Eukaryotic small subunit ribosomal RNA
Source: RNAcentral